GACGAACGCUGGCGGCGUGCUUAACACAUGCAAGUCGAACGGAAAGGCCCUGCUUGCAGGGUACUCGAGUGGCGAACGGGUGAGUAACACGUGGGUGAUCUGCCCUGCACUUCGGGAUAAGCUUGGGAAACUGGGUCUAAUACCGGAUAGGAGCCAUCUUUAGUGUGGUGGUUGGAAAGUUUUUUCGGUGUAGGAUGAGCUCGCGGCCUAUCAGCUUGUUGGUGGGGUAAUGGCCUACCAAGGCGGCGACGGGUAGCCGGCCUGAGAGGGUGUACGGCCACAUUGGGACUGAGAUACGGCCCAGACUCCUACGGGAGGCAGCAGUGGGGAAUAUUGCACAAUGGGCGGAAGCCUGAUGCAGCAACGCCGCGUGCGGGAUGACGGCCUUCGGGUUGUAAACCGCUUUCGCCUGUGACGAAGCGUGAGUGACGGUAAUGGGUAAAGAAGCACCGGCUAACUACGUG
Molecule: ribosomal RNA, 464 nt
Filed under: uncultured bacterium
Lineage: Bacteria
Description: partial 16S ribosomal RNA
Rfam family: Bacterial small subunit ribosomal RNA
Source: RNAcentral